GCUCGGAUGGUGAAAUGGGUAGACACGCCGGACUGUGGGUCCGGUUCUCUAACGAGAGUGCGGGUUCGAGUCCCGCUCCGAACA
Molecule: transfer RNA, 84 nt
Filed under: Gemmatimonadota bacterium
Lineage: Bacteria; Pseudomonadati; Gemmatimonadota
Description: Gemmatimonadetes bacterium tRNA-His
Rfam family: tRNA
About the family: Transfer RNA (tRNA) molecules are approximately 80 nucleotides in length. Their secondary structure includes four short double-helical elements and three loops (D, anti-codon, and T loops). Further hydrogen bonds mediate the characteristic L-shaped molecular structure. tRNAs have two regions of fundamental functional importance: the anti-codon, which is responsible for specific mRNA codon recognition, and the 3' end, to which the tRNAs corresponding amino acid is attached (by aminoacyl-tRNA synthetases). tRNAs cope with the degeneracy of the genetic code in two manners: having more than one tRNA (with a specific anti-codon) for a particular amino acid; and 'wobble' base-pairing, i.e. permitting non-standard base-pairing at the 3rd anti-codon position.
Source: RNAcentral